AAGCAACGCGAAGAACCUUAACCAGGUCGUUGACAUCCCGAUGCUAUUUCUUAGAGAUAGAAAGUUACUUCGGUACAUCGGUGACAGGUGGUGCAUGGUUGUCGUCAGCUCGUGUCGUGAGAUGUUGGGUUAAGUCCCGCAACGAGCGCAACCCCUAUUGUUAGUUGCCAUCAUUCAGUUGGGCACUCUAGCGAGACUGCCGGUAAUAAACCGGAGGAAGGUGGGGAUGACGUCAAAUCAUCAUGCCCCUUAUGACCUGGGCUACACACGUGCUACAAUGGUUGGUACAACGAGUUGCGAGUCGGUGACGGCGAGCUAAUCUCUUAAAGCUAAUCUCAGUUCGGAUUGUAGGCUGCAACUCGCCUACAUGAAGUCGGAAUCGCUAGUAAUCGCGGAUCAGCACGCCGCGGUGAAUACGUUCCCGGGCCUU
RNAcentral lists this ribosomal RNA (430 nucleotides) under uncultured Streptococcus sp. RNAcentral describes it as "bacterial SSU rRNA". It matches the Rfam family "Bacterial small subunit ribosomal RNA", at positions 954 to 1382 of the family's 1533-position model. The record is from RNAcentral. Lineage: Bacteria; Bacillati; Bacillota; Bacilli; Lactobacillales; Streptococcaceae.